Homo sapiens (human) is the source of this 1873-nucleotide long non-coding RNA. The record is from Ensembl. Lineage: Eukaryota; Metazoa; Chordata; Mammalia; Primates; Hominidae.
GGGGGAAUUAGAAAACCCAGACUAUGGUUAGUAUUAUGAGACAGAAGGGGCCUAGAUAGAUGAAUUGAAGGGAUGAAGAGGCAAGACAUUAAUUAGGAAUCUAUUGAUGGUUUAGAUGAGAAGCAAUAAGGAUCCUAACAGUGAAAAUAAAGAGGGAACUUAAGCCAGAAAUAAAAUGAAAGUACAUGAAUUAUGGCUUCGUUGCUGAUUGGCUGUGAAGGUCAGAGGAGAAGAAGAAGGAGUCAGUGCUAUCUCUAAGUAGGAUUUUUGAGUCUGUAAACUUGUAAAAAUAGUGGUGUCCUUAAAACACACACAGAAAGAAAGAGAAAGAACAGAUUUUGGGGAGAAAAGAUGAACUUGACUUUGAAUUUACUAAGCUUUAGAUAAGGAAGUAAAACCUAGAUGAAAUUGCCCAUCAGGCAAAGGAAAGGUAAGGUUGAAGUUAGAAGUAGAUUUAGUUGUCAUCUCUGUAGAAGGGAUUCUCACCAGACAGAGAUUUUCUAAAGAAGGGACUGAGGCCUGAGGGAAUGGCUUUACUUAGGAACUACAAGAAGAAAAAAAAAAAAAAUGAAGAAAUGGUCAUUGACCUAUUUGAAGCUUAGGAUAAUCCUCAAACAAUGAGAUUUCACUGUAUUUUGUUUUUAUUUAUUUAUUUGAGACAGAGUCUCGCUCUGUCACCCAGGCUGGAGUGCAAUGGCAUGAUCUCGACUCACUGUAACCUCCACCUCCAGGAUGCAAGCAGUUCUCCUGCCUCAGCCUCCCAGGUAGCUGGGAUUACAGGCAUGAGCCACCGUGCCUGGCUGUGUAUUUUCUUUUGCUUAGCCUUAUGUUAAAAGCUCCCAAGCACUGAUUUGCCACGUUCCACCCUAUUACUUUCAGCAAAUGUUUUUUUGUAUGCCCUUUCUUCAUUUCCUAUUUCUAAAUUACCACUCUAUCCCUGGUGGGUGAUUAUGUCAGUCUUAUGACAAUUAUAUUUAAGAAAUUUCAGGCCAGUUGUGGUGGCUCACACCUGUAAUCCCAGGUUUGAGACCAGCCUGGGCAACAUAGCAAAACACCGCUAACUUUUUUUUUUUUUUUUAAUUAGCCAGCCAUGGUAGCAUGCACUUGUAGUCCCAGCUACUUGGGAGGCUGAGGCAGGAGAAUCACUUAAGGCCAGGAGUCCAGCCUGGGCAACAUAGCAGGAUCCUAUCCCUUUAAAAAAAAAAAAAAGAAAGAAAUUUUUGAUCUAAAUGAUCUUAGAUACAGACUUUGAUAAAACUUAUUUAUGUUUUCCAAAAGUCUGCAUCCUACUUCUGCUUCCUACUUUGUCCAUUUGUUUAUUGGCUUAAAUUACACAAGUGUGGGAAGCUAGAUAUCCUUCAACUGGUAGUACUUUCUUUGUCAUAUCACUUAUUUCUAGUUUUUACUCACUUGAAAAUUUGGCAGUGAGGCAAACUAAUAUCUGGUUCCCCAAGGGUACCUUCUUCAUAGUUCUCUGAGGUUAUACUGACAUUCCGCACAUAAACAGAUGAUGUAUACAUUUUACCUGAUAGUUUCAGUUGAGGAUCUCGGUUAGAUUUCUUCUGGUCCUUUAUAUAUAAAACCUUAGAAUUUUGGAAGAAUUGCUGUUCUGAAUUUUUUUCCAUUUGAUAUUGAAGCAUUUGAACUUCAGACCAGGUAAGUUGUAUUUUUUACCUGAAUGCUUUAAUUGGUCUCACUAGCCACUAACCCCUUCCAUCCUCCUAUUUAAAAGCUAAGGAGGAGGCGACCAGGUGCUGUGGCUCACGCCUGUAAUCCCAACACUUUGGGAGGCUGAAGCGGGUGGAUCACUUGAGUCCAGGAGUUCAAAAACAGCCUGGCCAACCUGGUGAAACCCUAUCUCUACUAAAAUAUA